CAGUCGCCACGGUAAUACGAGGGGGGCAAGCGUUGUUCGGAAUUAUUGGGCGUAAAGGGUGCGUAGGCGGCCCCGCAAGUCUCAUGUGAAAUCUUCAGGCUCAACUUGAAGUCUGCAUGGGAAACUGCGGGGCUGGAGUAUGGGAGAGGUGAGUGGAAUUCCUGGUGUAGCGGUGAAAUGCGUAGAUAUCAGGAGGAACACCUGUGGCGAAAGCGGCUCACUGGACCAUGACUGACGCUGAGGCACGAAAGCUAGGGGAGCAAACAGGAUUAGAUACCCCCGUAGUCCCUGUCUCUUAUAC
RNAcentral lists this ribosomal RNA (301 nucleotides) under uncultured bacterium. RNAcentral describes it as "partial 16S ribosomal RNA". It matches the Rfam family "Bacterial small subunit ribosomal RNA", at positions 509 to 807 of the family's 1533-position model. The record is from RNAcentral.